GAUGAACGCUAGCUACAGGCUUAACACAUGCAAGUCGAGGGGCAGCAGGGAUUUAGCUUGCUAAAUCCGCUGGCGACCGGCGCACGGGUGCGUAACGCGUAUCCAACUUUCCCGUUACUCAGGGAUAGCCUUCCGAAAGGGAGAUUAAUACCUGAUGGUGUUUGAAGUUCGCAUGUUCUUCAAACUAAAGAUUUAUUGGUAAACGAUGGGGACGCGUUCCAUUAGGUAGUAGGCGGGGCAACGGCCCACCUAGCCUGCGAUGGAUAGGGGUUCUGAGAGGAAGGUCCCCCACAUUGGAACUGAGACACGGUCCAAACUCCUACGGGAGCAGCAGUGAGGAAUAUUGGUCAAUGGGGCGAGAGCCUGAACCAGCCAAGUAGCGUGAAGGAUGAAGGUCCUACGGAUUGUAAACUUCUUUUAUACGGGAAUAAAGUUUCCUACGUGUAGGAUUUUGUAUGUACCGUAUGAAUAAGCAUCGGCUAACUCCGUGCCAGCAGCCGCGGUAAAGUCAGAGUG
This 516-nucleotide ribosomal RNA is filed under the name uncultured bacterium. Its description in RNAcentral is "bacterial SSU rRNA". It matches the Rfam family "Bacterial small subunit ribosomal RNA", at positions 28 to 532 of the family's 1533-position model. The record is from RNAcentral.